UAGGGAAUCUUCCGCAAUGGACGCAAGUCUGACGGAGCAACGCCGCGUGAGUGAAGAAGGAUUUCGGUUCGUAAAACUCUGUUGUUAGAGAAGAACAGCGCAUAGAGUAACUGUUAUGCGUGUGACGGUAUCUAACCAGAAAGCCACGGCUAACUACGUGCCAGCAGCCGCGGUAAUACGUAGGUGGCAAGCGGUGUCCGGAUUUAUUGGGCGUAAAGCGAGCGCAGGCGGUCAAUUAGGUCGGAUGUGAAAGCCCCCGGCUCAACCGGGGAGGGUCAUUGGAAACUGGUUGACUUGAGUGCAGAAGAGGAGAGUGGAAUUCCAUGUGUAGCGGUGAAAUGCGUAGAUAUAUGGAGGAACACCAGUGGCGAAGGCGACUCUCUGGUCUGUAACUGACGCUGAGGCUCGAAAGCGUGGGUAGCAAACAGG
RNAcentral lists this ribosomal RNA (429 nucleotides) under Bacteroidota bacterium. Its description in RNAcentral is "Bacteroidetes bacterium partial 16S ribosomal RNA". It matches the Rfam family "Bacterial small subunit ribosomal RNA", at positions 355 to 776 of the family's 1533-position model. The record is from RNAcentral. Lineage: Bacteria; Pseudomonadati; Bacteroidota.